RNAcentral lists this ribosomal RNA (257 nucleotides) under uncultured prokaryote. Its description in RNAcentral is "partial 16S ribosomal RNA". It matches the Rfam family "Bacterial small subunit ribosomal RNA", at positions 521 to 777 of the family's 1533-position model. The record is from RNAcentral.
UAAUACGAAGGGGGCUAGCGUUGUUCGGAAUUACUGGGCGUAAAGCGCGCGCAGGCGGUCUUCCAAGUCAGUGGUGAAAGCCCGGAGCUCAACUCCGGAACUGCCAUUGAAACUGUUAGACUUGAGGACGAGAGAGGUGAGUGGAAUUCCCAGUGUAGAGGUGAAAUUCGUAGAUAUUGGGAAGAACACCGGUGGCGAAGGCGGCUCACUGGCUCGUAUCUGACGCUCAGGCGCGAUAGCGUGGGGAUCAAACGGGA